UUUUACAGUCUGGUAAUUGGAAUGAGUACAGUGUAAAUCCCUUAACGAGGAUCAAUUGGAGGGCAAGUCUGGUGCCANCAGCCGCGGUAAUACCANCUCCAAUAGCGUAUAUUAACUUUGUUGCAGUUAAAAGGCUCGUAGUCNAAUUUAUGGCUAUAGAUGCUCGGCCCGCUAUCUAGUAUAACGAGUGCCUUGUGUUUUGGUCAUCCUUCUGGAGAGCACUGCUGACCUUGAUUGGUUCGGCUGUUGUAAUCCAGAUCAUUUACUGUGAGUAAAUCAAAGUGUUCAAAGCAGGCUUGUGAAGCUUGUAUGCUCUAGCAUGGAAUAAUAGGAUAGGACUUGGGUUCUAUUUUGUUGGCUUUCANAACCAAAGUAAUGAUCGAUAGGGAUAGUUGGGGGUGCUAGUAUUUAACGGUCAGCGGUGAAAUGCUCACACCCGUUAAAGACUAACUUAUGCGAAAGCAUUCACCAAGGAUAUCUUCUUUGAUCAAGAACGGAAGUUGGGGGAUCGAAAACGAUCANAUACCGUCGUAGUCUCAACCAUAAACUAUGCCAACUAGGGAUUGGCGGUCGUUGAUUAUUGACCCCGUCNGCACCUUAUGAGAAAUCAAAGUCUCUGGGUUCUGGGGGGAGUAUGGUCACAAGGCUGAAACUUAAA
Molecule: ribosomal RNA, 658 nt
Filed under: uncultured Vampyrellida
Lineage: Eukaryota; Endomyxa; Vampyrellida
Description: bacterial SSU rRNA
Rfam family: Eukaryotic small subunit ribosomal RNA
Source: RNAcentral